Molecule: ribosomal RNA, 253 nt
Filed under: uncultured bacterium
Lineage: Bacteria
Description: partial 16S ribosomal RNA
Rfam family: Bacterial small subunit ribosomal RNA
Source: RNAcentral
UACGUAGGGGGCUAGCGUUGUCCGGAAUCAUUGGGCGUAAAGCGCGUGUAGGCGGUUCGGUAAGUCCGCUGUGAAAGUCGGGGGCUCAACCCUCGAAAGCCGGUGGAUACUGUCGAGCUAGAGUGCGGAAGAGGCGAGUGGAAUUCCUGGUGUAGCGGUGAAAUGCGCAGAUAUCAGGAGGAACACCAAUUGCGAAGGCAGCUCGCUGGGACGUUACUGACGCUGAGACGCGAAAGCGUGGGGAGCAAACAGG